GAUGAAGAACGCAGCGAAAUGCGAUACGUAAUGUGAAUUGCAGAAUUCAGUGAAUCAUCGAAUCUUUGAACGCAUAUUGCGCUCUUUGGUAUUCCGAAGAGCAUGCUUGUUUGAGUAUCAGUAAACACCUCAAAGCUUUUGGAUUUUUUAAUCGAAAAGCUUUGGACUUGAGCAAUCCCAACACCAAUCUUUUUGAGAUCGGUGGCGGGUUGCUUGAAAUGCAGGUGCAGCUGGACAUUCUCCUGAGCUAAAAGCAUAUUCAUUUAGUCCCGUCCAACGGAUUAUUACUUUUGCUGCAGCUAACAUAAAGGGAGUUUGACCGUAUUGGCUGACUGAUGCAGGAUUUCACAAGGGUCGGCAACGAUUCUUGUUAAACUCGAUCUCAAAUCAAGUAAGACUACCCGCUGAACUUAAGCAUAUCAAUAAGCGGAGGA
Molecule: unclassified non-coding RNA, 434 nt
Filed under: soil metagenome
Description: partial contains 5.8S ribosomal RNA, internal transcribed spacer 2, and large subunit ribosomal RNA
Rfam family: 5.8S ribosomal RNA (bases 1-120)
Source: RNAcentral